GAUGAACGCUGACAGAAUGCUUAACACAUGCAAGUCAACUUGAACUUCGGUUUGGGUGGCGGACGGGUGAGUAACGCGUAAAGAACUUGCCUCACAGAUAGGGACAACAUUUGGAAACGAAUGCUAAUACCUGAUAUUAUGAUUUUAGGGCAUCCUAGAAUUAUGAAAGCUAUAUGCGCUGUGAGAGAGCUUUGCGUCCCAUUAGCUAGUUGGAGAGGUAACGGCUCACCAAGGCGAUGAUGGGUAGCCGGCCUGAGAGGGUGAUCGGCCACAAGGGGACUGAGACACGGCCCCUACUCCUACGGGAGGCAGCAGUGGGGAAUAUUGGACAAUGGACCAAGAGUCUGAUCCAGCAAUUCUGUGUGCACGAUGAAGUUUUUCGGAAUGUAAAGUGCUUUCAGUUGGGAAGAAAAAAAUGACGGUACCAACAGAAGAAGUGACGGCUAAAUACGUGCCAGCAGCCGCGGUAAUACGUAUGUCACAAGCGUUAUCCGGAUUUAUUGGGCGUAAAGCGCGUCUAGGUGGUUAUGUAAGUCUGAUGUGAAAAUGCAGGGCUCAACUCUGUAUUGCGUUGGAAACUGUGUAACUAGAGUACUGGAGAGGUAAGCGGAACUACAAGUGUAGAGGUGAAAUUCGUAGAUAUUUGUAGGAAUGCCGAUGGGGAAGCCAGCUUACUGGACAGAUACUGACGCUGAAGCGCGAAAGCGUGGGUAGCAAACAGG
RNAcentral lists this ribosomal RNA (722 nucleotides) under uncultured Fusobacterium sp. RNAcentral's name for it is "bacterial SSU rRNA". It matches the Rfam family "Bacterial small subunit ribosomal RNA", at positions 28 to 776 of the family's 1533-position model. The record is from RNAcentral. Lineage: Bacteria; Fusobacteriati; Fusobacteriota; Fusobacteriia; Fusobacteriales; Fusobacteriaceae.